Rhopalosiphum padi (bird cherry-oat aphid) is the source of this 1157-nucleotide RNA transcript. RefSeq lists it as uncharacterized. The record is from RefSeq and is a predicted model, not a curated record. The transcript has 6 exons. Lineage: Eukaryota; Metazoa; Arthropoda; Insecta; Hemiptera; Aphididae.
CUUUGAAAAACUGAUUUAAAUUCAAAAAUAUUUGGAUGGAGUAAAAAAGUGUGGGGAUGUUUUUGUUCUACAAAUAAACACUGAAUCCAACCAGUUAAAUUUGGAUAUGGCUGUAGAAGACAAUUUUCCCUAAAUUAGAAGUCGAAAACACAAAAUAAUGCUAGGAGAGUUAUAGAAAAUUAUAAUUAAUAAUCAACUUCAACAAUUUUCAGUUGAUGUACAUAAUAUAACUCUUGAUACUACCAUGGAAAGUUUGAAAAAAUUUCUUAAAUGUCAAGACUUAUUACUGAUUUAUCAAGCCUUUCAUCAACAAACUUCAAAAAAUAAAAAUGCUGCAAAUGAAAAUAUGAAAAAUGAGCUUAUAAGUUUUGCAGAGAAUUCUGAAUUAGCACAAAUUAAAAAAAAAGUAUUCCUGAAACGUAUGCAACAAUCAUUUAUAUAAAAAACAACAAUGAAAAAGAAGUAUUGGCAAAAAAUAACAAUGAUUGAAAAUCAUUUUGUUUUUUUAACAAUCAACUACUGUUAUAUUUUGAUCACAAUCUAUUAAAUAAUGAGCGGAAACACUAGCUCACACGACAACUCAGGGUCUAAGCAUUUUGCAGAAAAUCCCCAAGGAACAACGACCGCCUCUACAUCUACUUCAAGUAAUCUGGAAGACCCAUCGCCAACUAUAUCAAUUUUUGUCGUGAGUUUUGAGUGUUCCGUUUGCCUUAAAAAGAUAAUGGAGGUACGCUCAAAACUAUGUCAGCACAAAUCCUGUCUAAACUGUGUCCCAAUGCAGUGUACUGUGGCCUGUAGAGACUCACUUCUUGACACAAUAGACAGACCUGAAUUGUAUGACAAAGUUAUGGAUGGUUACGAAUUGACUUGUUCUGAUUUAGCAAAGGUGGUACCAAAGAAGAAGAGGCAAUAUCCUGAACAGGAUUAAAUUCUAUUAAAAUAAACAAAAACGGAGAAGAAAAGACUGUUAAAGAUGGGAUCAGUUAUUUUCUUCAAAAGAAACUACUACACAUCGACAUCGAUAUAAAAUGAUGACUUUAAGUACAAAAUAAUUUUAAUUAUAUUAGGUACCUACACAUUAUAAUAUUAUAUUAUACUAUUAUAUACUAUAUACAAAUUAUAUUACGUAUGUACCUAUAAUAAUGAUUUUUGGAUAA